UGCCUUACACAUGCAAGUCGAACGGUAACAGGUCUUCGGAUGCUGACGAGUGGCGAACGGGUGAGUAAUACAUCGGAACGUGCCCGAUCGUGGGGGAUAACGCAGCGAAAGCUGUGCUAAUACCGCAUACGAUCUACGGAUGAAAGCGGGGGAUCGCAAGACCUCGCGCGGACGGAGCGGCCGAUGGCAGAUUAGGUAGUUGGUGGGAUAAAAGCUUACCAAGCCGACGAUCUGUAGCUGGUCUGAGAGGACGACCAGCCACACUGGGACUGAGACACGGCCCAGACUCCUACGGGAGGCAGCAGUGGGGAAUUUUGGACAAUGGGGGAAACCCUGAUCCAGCCAUGCCGCGUGCAGGAUGAAGGCCUUCGGGUUGUAAACUGCUUUUGUACGGAACGAAAAGGUCCUUUCUAAUAAAGAGGGCUCAUGACGGUACCGUAAGAAUAAGCACCGGCUAACUACGUGCCAGCAGCCGCGGUAAUACGUAGGGUGCGAGCGUUAAUUCGGAAUUACUGGGCGUAAAGCGUGCGCAGGCGGU
Molecule: ribosomal RNA, 538 nt
Filed under: beta proteobacterium 8.1
Lineage: Bacteria; Pseudomonadati; Pseudomonadota; Betaproteobacteria
Description: bacterial SSU rRNA
Rfam family: Bacterial small subunit ribosomal RNA
Source: RNAcentral